CGUGCAGGUGGUUUGGUAAGUUGGGUAUGAAAUCUUCUGGCUUAACUAGGAGAGGUUGCUCAAAACUGCCAGACUAGAGGACGAUAGAGGAAGGUGGAAUUCCCGGUGUAGUAGGGAAAUGCGUAGAUAUCGGGAGGAACACCAGUGGCGAAGGCGGCCUUCUGGGUCGUUCCUGACACUAAGACGCGAAAGUAUGGGUAGCAAACAGGAUUAGAUACCCUGGUAGUCC
RNAcentral lists this ribosomal RNA (229 nucleotides) under uncultured bacterium. RNAcentral's name for it is "partial 16S ribosomal RNA". It matches the Rfam family "Bacterial small subunit ribosomal RNA", at positions 568 to 796 of the family's 1533-position model. The record is from RNAcentral.